CCUACGGGAGGCAGCAGUGGGGAAUAUUGCGCAAUGGGCGAAAGCCUGACGCAGCGACGCCGCGUGAGGGAUGAAGGUCUUCGGAUCGUAAACCUCUGUCAGCAGGGAAGAACGGUCACUGUGCUAAUCAGCAGUGAAUUGACGGUACCUGCAAAGGAAGCACCGGCUAACUCCGUGCCAGCAGCCGCGGUAAUACGGAGGGUGCGAGCGUUAAUCGGAAUUACUGGGCGUAAAGCGCUCGUAGGCGGUAUGUCAAGUCAAGGGGGAAAUCCCCGCGCUCAACGUGGGAACUGCCUUUGAAACGGGCAAACUGGAGUGUGUGAGAGGAUAGUGGAAUUCCAGGUGGAGGAGUGAAAUCCGUAGAUAUCUGGAGGAACAUCAGUGGCGAAGGCGACUAUCUGGCACAUAACUGACGCUGAGGAGCGAAAGCGUGGGUAGCAAACAGGAUUAGAUACCCCGGUAGUC
RNAcentral lists this ribosomal RNA (465 nucleotides) under uncultured bacterium. RNAcentral describes it as "partial 16S ribosomal RNA". It matches the Rfam family "Bacterial small subunit ribosomal RNA", at positions 338 to 795 of the family's 1533-position model. The record is from RNAcentral.